This is a long non-coding RNA of Xenia sp. Carnegie-2017, 206 nucleotides long. RefSeq lists it as uncharacterized. NCBI's taxonomy places the organism in Eukaryota, Metazoa, Cnidaria, Anthozoa, Malacalcyonacea, Xeniidae. The record is from RefSeq and is a predicted model, not a curated record. The transcript has 3 exons.
UCUCGACUUGUGCCAUAACUUCAUGUACGUCAUACGUUGCGAAGCAGGAAAUUGAGUCUUUCUGAAAUUCUCACGGAAGAAAACCAAAUUACAUGGUGAAAAUGGUAAAGACAAAUUUAGUAUUUUCGACUGUUACAUUGAUCACAUUUCUUGGUCUUGCCAAAGGAACAAUAAUAUCUCCACCUGAUGGUCAAAAUUUGUAUUUU